This 1107-nucleotide long non-coding RNA is filed under the name Helianthus annuus (common sunflower). RNAcentral describes it as "hypothetical non coding rna". Lineage: Eukaryota; Viridiplantae; Streptophyta; Magnoliopsida; Asterales; Asteraceae. The record is from RNAcentral.
CGACACUCAUUGUUAUAUUAUACUUUAUGUUUCAAAAACAGUAAACUACCAAUACAUUAGCACACACACAUUUAAGAAAGCAACACUCUAUAGAAGCUCAUAUACUUCAUCACCAACCAAUCAGUAAACUCCCACAAAACAUAUACCAAACUUAACCUAAGACACAAACACCCAUAUUAGCAUUAUAUUUUUCAAGCCUCUUCCUCCUCGUACCCCUCUUCAUCUUCCUCGUACUCACCUUCCUCAUCAGCAGUUGCAUCUUGGUAUUGUUGAUACUCCGAAACCAAAUCAUUCAUGUUACUUUCAGCUUCAGUAAACUCCAUCUCAUCCAUUCCUUCACCUGUGUACCAAUGCAAGAAAGCCUUUCUCCUAAACAUGGCGGUAAACUGCUCGCUCACACGCCUAAACAUUUCCUGAAUCGAUGUCGAGUUUCCAAUAAACGUGGACGCCAUUUUCAGACCCGUUGGUGGGAUGUCACAAACGGUUGACUUCACAUUGUUUGGGAUCCAUUCAACAAAGUAAGACGAGUUCUUGUUUUGUACAUUGAUCAUUUGUUCAUCCACCUCUUUAGUGCUCAUUUUACCACGGAACAUGGCCGACGCGGUUAAGUAGCGGCCGUGGCGGGGAUCAGCUGCACACAUCAUGUUUUUGGCGUCCCACAUUUGUUGGGUGAGCUCGGGUACUGUUAGAGCGCGGUAUUGCUGGGACCCACGCGAGGUUAGGGGUGCAAACCCGACCAUGAAGAAGUGGAGCCGAGGGAAUGGGAUUAGGUUGACUGCAAGCUUGCGGAGGUCGGAGUUUAGUUGACCUGGGAAGCGGAGGCAGCAGGUGACACCGCUCAUGGUGGCGGAAAUCAAGUGGUUCAAAUCUCCAACUCUGGGAGUGGUGAGCUUGAGUGUACGGAAACAGAUAUCAUAAAGAGCCUCAUUGUCGAGGACCAUGCAUUCGUCUGCAUUCUCGACCAGUUGGUGCACCGAUAGGGUGGCAUUGUAGGGCUCGACCACUGUGUCGGACACCUUGGGUGAUGGGAAAACUGAGAAGGUGAGCAUCAUCCGGUCCGGAUACUCCUCCCUUACCUUGGAUAUCAACAAAGUCCCCAUUCCGGAC